AUUGUAGAUAAAUUUUAAAAUCUUUUUUUCUGAUUUCUUUUAUUUUGGAUUUCGUGGAAAUUAAAAUUCCACCUAAGGAUGUAAUUUUUGUGGCAUAUGGCGAUGCUUUUUCCAACUCAUCAACCAUUUUUUCACCAAUUGUUCUCAACGGAGACAAAUUGUUGACAACCUUAAUAAAUCGCGAAUCAACAGCAUGGUUGGAUUCAAUGAAAUGGGGAUGUUACGCUCGAAUGUUUCCUACAACACCUGGCCGUAACCGGGGAAACAAUUGGAUACAAAAUGCGAACAAUGAAAUAUCAUUUAAAGAAUAUGACGAAGAAAUCGCCAUGGAAGAUUGAUAAACGCUUACGCUUACACCCAAAAAUCUAAAUAUAAACUGGCAAAUGCAAAUCAAUCUGAUUCAAUAAAAAAUCAAUCGCCAAACUGGACGUCAACGACCCCAAUUACGGCCGGU
Daphnia magna is the source of this 454-nucleotide long non-coding RNA. RefSeq lists it as uncharacterized. The record is from RefSeq and is a predicted model, not a curated record. NCBI's taxonomy places the organism in Eukaryota, Metazoa, Arthropoda, Branchiopoda, Diplostraca, Daphniidae. The transcript has 2 exons.